UUUGAAACGCGCAUACGGAUAAUUUGUUAAACGAUUUUUUAAUAUGUUUUCGUGGAAAAAACUGUCAGCUUAGUUUGCGGUAUAUCUUUUAGCUUGCUUUUUUAGUUUGAAGUUUCUACGCAUACAGAAGAAUUCUUAAAGUAUUUGAGGUUUGUUUUGAAACCUACUUGUUUUUCAUUUUUUUUAUCAAAAAUUUAUAUUGAAUUAUACCUUAUAUGCUAAAAAAUGCAAAAAAAUAUUAGGGACUAGUAUUUUUCCGUUUCAUUUGAUCGAAAGUAUGCUUUUUCUUCAUUUUAAAACAUUUUGGAUUAAACAAGCGAACCAGUGUGUAUUUUCAAUCAGUCUAACUCGAACAUUGUUUUAGUCGCACAUUAUAUGCGUUAAGUCCAACGCUAAAGUAGAAUCAACGCUGAGAUUGUUAAAAUAGACUUUUGUUUUGGUUAAAAAUUGUUUUGAUUGUGAUGAAAUUUUUUUACAUUAACAAAAGUUCCUAAAUUAUUCAGCCCGAAACUAAAGUUUAUUUUAACCUUUGAUCAGACUUUGCAACGUUUUGGGGGUUUCAGCAACUGCCUGCUUGGGAUUAAGAAUGCGCUCUAUUUGACAAUUUUUAUUUAAUGCUUAAGCGAAAGUGGUUAAAUUAUCUGUCUCAUUAAAUUUGAAAAGAGCCAAUUUGGUCUUUUCAAGGAGUUACUUGACGCUAAUGAAAUGCUCUUAUUUUUGAACUUGUUCUUCGACGUUUUUUGAAGUCAAAGGUUUCGUCUUUGAGCUUUUUUGGCUUCUUUUUAUUUGAGCUGUAGUUAGCAUAAAUUUGGUGUCGUGUGUUUUUUUUUCAAUUCCUCAAUGGCAAUCGUUUUGAUAGGUGACUUGUAAACGCGCAUAUGGAUAACUUUUUAAAAAGGAUUUUUUGAUAUAUUUUUGUAGUAUUGGGGAAUAUCGUUUUUUGAAGCUGUUUAAUAAAACAAAUUCUGUCAGCUGAGUUUGUGGUUGACCAUUUGAUUUGCUCAUUCAGUUUUUCCAACUGCGUUCUGUAUUUUUUAUGCUUAAAAUUGAAUGUAUGAAGCAUUGAGUUAUGUUUGAAAACUAUUCGGUUUUCAGUUUUUUUUAAAUUCAUGUUGAGUUCGGUUUUAUAUGCCAAAAAGUCUGAUAGAACUGGUGGAAUAGUAGUAUUAUAUUUUUGAGUAUUAUAUUUUGUGGCUACUCCUAGUUAUCUAUGAUUUGCUUCCUCCGUAUUCAUGCUGGCUUUAAUGGUUGUUGGUGAUUGACUGUAGCUCAAAAAGUCAGCUCAAAAAGAUAAUGUUGAGUUUUAAGACGUUUUUCCGCGGUUUUAAAUUUGGAAAUCAAGUGAUUUGUCUGGUGAAUCAUUUUUUUGUGGGAAUCCUGAAAUUCAGACGUGAAGAAACGAACAAUCUGACAUUGAGAAAGUGUACAAUGAAGUUGCUGCUUCGUCUCAGUUUUCUGCUAUGUACAGCUAAUGCAUUGAAACGAUCGUCGGAGAGAAGCAAGCUCUGGGGGAAAAGCGUAGGGAGACGUAGUGCAUGUGCGAGCCCAAAAUCUGAUCCCAGUGGCUAUUGCAACAAUUGUGACAAAGUGGAUAACACCGGCUGUUGUAACGAGUGGUUUGUUCCUGCCUGCAAGGCGGAUUGCUGCAAUGAUGGUGGAGGAAUGAGCUCAGACCUGGGACCUGACUGUCAAAAAUUUGUAGAUGGGCAUGAAUCGUGUCUCUCGGGGGGUGGGGCUGCUGGAGCACAGGGUGGCGAAGGCGAUCCGGGAAACUACUCAGAUAGACUAUCAGUGCAAAAAGCACUUUCAAUUUUUUCAUUAACCGUAUAUGCAGUAAAACGCUACCAAUGAUACAUUAAAGAGAAAUGGAUUAGUUGAAAAUAUCAAAAUGAAGCCAAAAUCUGAAACGAAAACAUGAAUAAAGAAUGCAGUUGAAAGCGAUAUGAAAAUUUUUCAUUUAGAGAAUUAUGAUAAGCAAAAUAGAUUUGUUAUCAUUCAGUUGAAAAGUGUUUAGAGCGCUGUAAGAUAAAUGAUGGAUUUAUAAAGGAUACACAGAAACGAACCUCUCGUUUUUCAUGGAAGAAGAUAAUUAUCUUCGUUCAGAAUAAAUAGAUAUGAA
Molecule: long non-coding RNA, 2119 nt
Organism: Symsagittifera roscoffensis
Lineage: Eukaryota; Metazoa; Xenacoelomorpha; Acoela; Convolutidae
Exons: 4
Source: RefSeq, a predicted model, not a curated record